This 472-nucleotide ribosomal RNA is filed under the name uncultured organism. Its description in RNAcentral is "partial 16S ribosomal RNA". It matches the Rfam family "Bacterial small subunit ribosomal RNA", at positions 331 to 796 of the family's 1533-position model. The record is from RNAcentral.
GUACACUCCUGCGGGAGGCAGCAGUAGGGAAUCUUCCACAAUGGGUGCAAACCUGAUGGAGCAAUGCCGCGUGAGUGAAGAAGGUCUUCAGAUCGUAAAGCUCUGUUGUUAGAGAAGAACACGUGCUAGGUAACUACUAGCGCCUUGACGGUAUCUAACCAGAAAGUCACGGCUAACUACGUGCCAGCAGCCGCGGUAAUACGUAGGUGACAAGCGUUGUCCGGAUUUAUUGGGCGUAAAGGGAGCGCAGGCGGUCUGUUUAGUCUAAUGUGAAAGCCCACGGCUUAACCGUGGAACGGCAUUGGAAACUGACAGACUUGAAUGUAGAAGAGGAAAAUGGAAUUCCAAGUGUAGCGGUGGAAUGCGUAGAUAUUUGGAGGAACACCAGUGGCGAAGGCGAUUUUCUGGUCUAACAUUGACGCUGAGGCUCGAAAGCGUGGGGAGCGAACAGGAUUAGAAACCCCAGUAGUCC